Molecule: ribosomal RNA, 352 nt
Filed under: Morganella sp. A127
Lineage: Bacteria; Pseudomonadati; Pseudomonadota; Gammaproteobacteria; Enterobacterales; Morganellaceae
Description: bacterial SSU rRNA
Rfam family: Bacterial small subunit ribosomal RNA
Source: RNAcentral
CAGCGCGUAAUGGCGGGAACUCAAAGGAGACUGCCGGUGAUAAACCGGAGGAAGGUGGGGAUGACGUCAAGUCAUCAUGGCCCUUACGAGUAGGGCUACACACGUGCUACAAUGGCGUAUACAAAGGGAAGCGACCCCGCGAGGGCAAGCGGAACUCAUAAAAUACGUCGUAGUCCGGAUUGGAGUCUGCAACUCGACUCCAUGAAGUCGGAAUCGCUAGUAAUCGUAGAUCAGAAUAGCUACGGUGAAUACGUUCCCGGGCCUUGUACACACCGCCCGUCACACCAUGGGAGUGGGUUGCAAAAGAAGUAGGUAGCUUAACCUUCGGGAGGGCGCUUACCACUUUGUGAUU